AUUGAACGCUGGCGGCGUGCUUAACACAUGCAAGUCGUGCGGUAACAGGCGUAGCAAUACGUGCUGACGAGCGGCGAACGGGUGCGUAAUACAUGGGAAUCUGCCUUUUAGUGGGAAUAACCCGGCGAAAGCCGGGCUAAUGCCGCAUAAGAUCUUCGGAUGAAAGGCGGGGGAUCGUAAGACCUCGCGCUGAUAGAUGAGCCCAUGCCGGAUUAGCUAGNGGUGAGGUAACGGCUCACCAAGGCGACGAUCCGUAGCUGGUCUGAGAGGACGGCCAGCCACACUGGGACUGAGACACGGCCCAGACUCCUACGGGAGGCAGCAGGUGGGGAAUAUUGGACAAGUGGGGAAACCCUGAUCCAGCGACGCCGCGUGUGUGAAGAAGGCCUGG
RNAcentral lists this ribosomal RNA (391 nucleotides) under uncultured bacterium. Its description in RNAcentral is "bacterial SSU rRNA". It matches the Rfam family "Bacterial small subunit ribosomal RNA", at positions 29 to 419 of the family's 1533-position model. The record is from RNAcentral.